CCUACGGGUGGCAGCAGUGAGGAAUAUUGGUCAAUGGACGAGAGUCUGAACCAGCCAAGUAGCGUGAAGGAUGACUGCCCUAUGGGUUGUAAACUUCUUUUAUAUGGGAAUAAAAUGUUCCACGUGUGGGAUUUUGUAUGUACCAUAUGAAUAAGGAUAGGCUAACUCCGUGCCAGCAGCCGCGGUAAUACGGAGGAUCCGAGCGUUAUCCGGAUUUAUUGGGUUUAAAGGGAGCGUAGGUGGAUUGUUAAGUCAGUUGUGAAAGUUUGCGGCUCAACCGUAAAAUUGCAGUUGAAACUGGCAGUCUUGAGUACAGUAGAGGUGGGCGGAAUUCGUGGUGUAGCGGUGAAAUGCUUAGAUAUCACGAAGAACUCCGAUUGCGAAGGCAGUUCACUGGACUGCAACUGACACUGAGGCUCGAAAGUGUGGGUAUCAAACAGGAUUAGAUACCCUAGUAGUC
Molecule: ribosomal RNA, 460 nt
Filed under: uncultured bacterium
Lineage: Bacteria
Description: partial 16S ribosomal RNA
Rfam family: Bacterial small subunit ribosomal RNA
Source: RNAcentral